GAACGCUGGUGGCAUGCUUAACACAUGCAAGUCGAACGGUAACAGGACUAGCUUGCUAGUUGCUGACGAGUGGCGGACGGGUGAGUAACACGUAGGAAUCUGCCCAUCUGAGGGGAUACCAGUUGGAAACGACUAUUAAUACCGCAUAGUAUCUGUGGAUUAAAGAUGGCUUUUAGGCUGUCGCGGAUGGAUGAGCCUGCGUUGGAUUAGCUAGUUGGUGAGGUAAGGGCCUACCAAGGCUACGAUCCAUAGUUGAUUUGAGAGGAUGAUCAGCCACAUUGGGACUGAGACACGACC
This 297-nucleotide ribosomal RNA is filed under the name uncultured Francisella sp. RNAcentral's name for it is "partial 16S ribosomal RNA". It matches the Rfam family "Bacterial small subunit ribosomal RNA", at positions 31 to 331 of the family's 1533-position model. The record is from RNAcentral. Lineage: Bacteria; Pseudomonadati; Pseudomonadota; Gammaproteobacteria; Thiotrichales; Francisellaceae.